Molecule: ribosomal RNA, 236 nt
Filed under: uncultured bacterium
Lineage: Bacteria
Description: partial 16S ribosomal RNA
Rfam family: Bacterial small subunit ribosomal RNA
Source: RNAcentral
UUCCUACGGGAGGCAGCAGUAGGGAAUCUUCCACAAUGGACGAAAGUCUGAUGGAGCAACGCCGCGUGAGUGAAGAAGGGUUUCGGCUCGGAAAGCUCUGUUGGUAGGGAAGAAAGAUAGAGGUAGUAACUGGCCUUUAUUUGACGGUAAUUACUUAGAAAGUCACGGCUAAAUAAGUGCCAGCAGCCGCGGGAAUACGGAGGUGGCAAGCGUUGUCCGGAGUUAUUGGGGGUAAA